CUACGGGUGGCAGCAGUGGGGAAUAUUUGACAAUGGGGGGAACCCUGAUCCAGCGACGCCGCGUGAGUGAAGAAGUAUUUCGGUAUGUAAAGCUCUAUCAGCAGGGAAGAAAGAAAUGACGGUACCUGACUAAGAAGCCCCGGCUAACUACGUGCCAGCAGCCGCGGCAAUACGUAGGGGGGAAGCGUUAUCCGGAUUUACUGGGUGUAAAGGGAGCGUAGACGGGGAUGCAAGUCUGAAGGGAAAGGCGGGGGCCCAACCCCCGGACUGCUUUGGAAACUGGAUGGCUGGAGUGCGGGAGAGGUAAGUGGAAUGCGUGGUGUAGCGGUGAAAGGCGUAGAUAUUAGGAGGAACACCGGUGGCGAAGGCGGCUUACUGGACUGUAACUGACGUUGAGGCUCGAAAGCGUGGGGAGCGAACAGGAUUAGAUACCCGGGUAGUC
Molecule: ribosomal RNA, 442 nt
Filed under: uncultured bacterium
Lineage: Bacteria
Description: partial 16S ribosomal RNA
Rfam family: Bacterial small subunit ribosomal RNA
Source: RNAcentral